AGAGUUUGAUCAUGGCUCAGGAUGAACGCUGGCGGUAUGCCUAACACAUGCAAGUCGAACGGGUAUCUUCGGAUAUUAGUGGCGGACGGGUGAGUAACGCGUGAGAAUCUGCCUUCAGGAUGGGGACAACAGUUGGAAACGACUGCUAAUACCCGAUAUGACGAAAGUUGAAAGAUUUAUCGCCUGGAGAUGAGCUCGCGUCAGAUUAGCUAGAUGGUGUGGUAAAGGCGCACCAUGGCGACGAUCUGUAGCUGGUCUGAGAGGAUGAGCAGCCACACUGGGACUGAGACACGGCCCAGACUCCUACGGGAGGCAGCAGUGGGGAAUUUUCCGCAAUGGGCGCAAGCCUGACGGAGCAAUACCGCGUGAGGGAGGAAGGCUCUUGGGUCGUAAACCUCUUUUCUCAGGGAAGAACAAAAUGACGGUACCUGAGAAUCAGCUCGAUCCGCUU
This 451-nucleotide ribosomal RNA is filed under the name uncultured cyanobacterium. RNAcentral's name for it is "bacterial SSU rRNA". It matches the Rfam family "Bacterial small subunit ribosomal RNA", at positions 8 to 502 of the family's 1533-position model. The record is from RNAcentral. Lineage: Bacteria; Bacillati; Cyanobacteriota.